GAUGAAGAACGCAGCGAAAUGCGAUACUUGGUGUGAAUUGCAGAAUCCCGUGAACCAUCGAGUCUUUGAACGCAAGUUGCGCCUCAAGCCAUUAGGUUGAGGGCACGUCUGCCUGGGCGUCACAUAUCGUUGCCUGAUGCCAGUUUCCUCGUGAUGGGUGACUGUGCAGGGCGAAUGAUGGCUUCCCGUGAGCAUUGUCGCCUCAUGGUUGGUUGAAAAUUGAGUCCUUGGUAGGGAGCGCCGUGAUAGAUGGUGGUUGAGUGACGAACGAGACCCAAUCAUGUGAGACCCCUACCGAAUUUGGCCUUCAUGACCCACAUGCGUCUUUGGAACGCUCAUGACGAGACCUCAGGUCAGGCGGGGCUACCCGCUGAGUUUAAGCAUAUCAAUAAGCGGAGGA
Molecule: unclassified non-coding RNA, 400 nt
Filed under: soil metagenome
Description: partial contains 5.8S ribosomal RNA, internal transcribed spacer 2, and large subunit ribosomal RNA
Rfam family: 5.8S ribosomal RNA (bases 1-122)
Source: RNAcentral